Molecule: long non-coding RNA, 429 nt
Organism: Pezoporus occidentalis (night parrot)
Lineage: Eukaryota; Metazoa; Chordata; Aves; Psittaciformes; Psittacidae
Exons: 2
Source: RefSeq, a predicted model, not a curated record
AUUAAGUGUAUCUAUGUGUAUCUUCUUUCAUACAACAACCAGGAUACAGUGUCCCUGUAACAGGGUGCUUUGCAGUGCAAGAAUGAAGAAGGUCUGAAGAGUGGUGACAUUGGUUGUCACAUGGACAUUGGUACAGAAAGAAACAGUACAAAAAUGUACAUGGUUUUGGUGACAAAUCCUGAAAGAAAAAGGAUAUCAAGAAUGAUCAGAGAGGAAGACCACACUCAAUUUUCAGAGGAACCAACCCACAUUCACACUGGAAGAAGAAAGAGCAAUGCCAAAAAAACAUAACAUUUUGCAGCUCAUGUUGUUAAUCUCUGAAGUUAGAACAUUCUUUGUCUAUUUGUCACUCUGUGGACACUAUUUCUGUUCACAUAAGAAGUCAAUUCAAUUUUUAAACCCACAACAAAAGCGUCCUCAAAGUGUUAA